Molecule: ribosomal RNA, 438 nt
Filed under: uncultured bacterium
Lineage: Bacteria
Description: partial 16S ribosomal RNA
Rfam family: Bacterial small subunit ribosomal RNA
Source: RNAcentral
CUACGGGCGGCUGCAGUGAGGAAUAUUGCACAAUGGGGGGAACCCUGAUGCAGCAACGCCGCGUGGAGGAUGACGCAUUUCGGUGUGUAAACUCCUUUUAUAUGUCAAGAAAAUGACGGUAGCAUAUGAAUAAGCACCGGCUAACUCCGUGCCAGCAGCCGCGGUAAUACGGAGGGUGCAAGCGUUACUCGGAAUCACUGGGCGUAAAGGACGCGUAGGCGGGUUGGAAAGUCAGGUGUGAAAUCCUACAGCUUAACUGUAGAACUGCACUUGAAACUUCUAAUCUAGAGUAUGGGAGGGGGAGAUGGAAUUAGUGGUGUAGGGGUAAAAUCCGUAGAUAUCACUAGGAAUACCUAAAGCGAAGGAGUUCUCCUGGAACAUUACUGACGCUAAGGCGUGAAAGCGUGGGAGCAAACAGGAUUAGAUACCCCCGUAGUC